UAGGGAAUAUUGGUUAAUGGGCGAAAGCCUGAACCAGCAACGCCGCGUGUGCGAUGACGGCCUUCGGGUUGUAAAGCACUUUUUGAGGGGAUGAGGAAGGACAGUACCCUCAGAAUAAGUCUCGGCUAACUACGUGCCAGCAGCCGCGGUAACACGUAGGAGACUAGCGUUAUUCGGAUUUACUGGGCGUAAAGCGCGUGCAGGCGGUUCGGUUAGUUGGAUGUGAAAGCUCCUGGCUUAACUGGGAGAGGUCGUUCAAUACUGCCGGACUUGAGAGUGGUAGAGGGAGUUGGAAUUCCGGGUGUAGUGGUAAAAUGCGUAGAUAUCCGGAAGAACACCAGUGGCGAAAGCGGACUCCUGGACCAUUUCUGACGCUCAGACGCGAAAGCUAGGGGAGCGAACGGGAUUAGAGACCCCGGUAGUCCUAGCUGUAAACGAUGUAGACUUGGCGUUGGAGGGGUUAAAUCCUUCAGUGCCGAAGCAAACGCGAUAAGUCUACCGCCU
RNAcentral lists this ribosomal RNA (504 nucleotides) under uncultured Chloroflexota bacterium. RNAcentral describes it as "bacterial SSU rRNA". It matches the Rfam family "Bacterial small subunit ribosomal RNA", at positions 355 to 874 of the family's 1533-position model. The record is from RNAcentral. Lineage: Bacteria; Bacillati; Chloroflexota.